CUCUACAUUUUAUCAAGACCAAGACAGAAGUAAACUUAGCAAGGAAGAAACAAAACUAAGCGCAGCAAUAGUUGCUCAAAGUAGAGAAAAUAGGAAAAAUGAGCUAAUCACAUGUGACCCAAAACACAAAGCAAUGAUAUGAAAAGUGUAGCAGAAAAUACACAAUGUGAUCAAAGCGAUAUCAAUAUGUACUUAAAGACAAAAUGGCGGAUCCAUAGCUAUCCACAAGUGGCAACUGUGGUCCUGUUGCUUUUUUUUUUUUAAAUAUUCUAAUUUCCUUUGGUACCCCCAAAAAGAUAAAAGAGGGGAAAGGGAGUAAUAGGAACGUGAAAAGGCUUUGAUUAGUGUAUCAUAAAAUGUUAAUAUCAUUCACAAAAGAAUCUAAAAGAAUAUGGUUAGCAGGCACCACUAUAUAAGGUUCUGACACCGUAUUCAACUUCCCAUCUUAUGCAUCAAUGUGAUGUAGCCAAGUGCAAACAGAUCGUUUCUCUCACACAUGGACUUGACGAAUACAGGAAAGAUAUCAGCUUUCAAUGAGUGCAAUGAUAUGAAAAGUGUAGCAGAAAAUACACAAUGUGAUCAAAGCGAUAUCAAUAUGUACUUAAAGACAAAAUGGCGGAUCCAUAGCUAUCCACAAGUGGCAACUGUGGUCCUGUUGCUUUUUUUUUUUUAAAUAUUCUAAUUUCCUUUGGUACCCCCAAAAAGAUAAAAGAGGGGAAAGGGAGUAAUAGGAACGUGAAAAGGCUUUGAUUAGUGUAUCAUAAAAUGUUAAUAUCAUUCACAAAAGAAUCUAAAAGAAUAUGGUUAGCAGGCACCACUAUAUAAGGUUCUGACACCGUAUUCAACUUCCCAUCUUAUGCAUCAAUGUGAUGUAGCCAAGUGCAAACAGAUCGUUUCUCUCACACAUGGACUUGACGAAUACAGGAAAGAUAUCAGCUUUCAAUGAGUUCAAAUUACCAAGAACUAGCACAUACUUAAUGUCUAUGUGAUCGAUAGAUCACCUCAAUCUUUGAAGGAGAAGAUUCCAGGAAUAAAUUGAAACACUAUCUUUUCUUCUGCAUGUUUCACAUCGAUAUAAUUCCCAUAUUCUGUACGUUUCUUUUGGUUAUUACCUCACAGUCUGCCAGGUAGCUUUUAUAUCGUUGAAGUCGGUCUUUAACCUACUCUAUUCGCUUAGGCGACACAGGCAAAAAAAAAAAAGUCGCAUUUAUCCACUUGUCAAGGAAAUGACUGACUAUUAUAUCUUCUUCACUAGUUCAAUCCAUGCGAGUAAAUAUAUGAGCAAAAGAUCCUUAUUGUUGUUCAAAAAUCACAUGUUCUAGAGUAACAAUUGUUUCACAUUAUGUUUCAUACCAAAACAAACCAAAAUCAAUUCUCUCCUGACAAAUCACAAACAAUUCUUUCAAAAUCAAAUCCACACAGUAGAGUUACCUGGUGGGGGGUGGCGGGGUGCGCACAAGCUGGCCUGAACAUCACGAUUAUCCAAAACAACACUAAAACAAAACAAUUUCUAAUCCACACGGUUGGUUCAGAAUGUAUUCUCCAACUAUAACACAAUGAGUUAAGUUCUAUGUCGUGGCAGUGUAAAUAUUAUUUACACAAUUGGGUCACUUAUUUAUCUUGGUAAAAAUAGGUAAUUAACAUGCUAUCACAGAAUAAUGUAAAAAGAUCUUUACGAUGUCAGUGCAUACAACUUAAAUUCAAACAAGGUAUUAUGAGUAUUUCCGCAAAUUAUUGUUUUCAAAAACAAAAUAGACAAAAACCAGUCUUAGAACAAACUCAAAAUUAGUCCUCUCAAAACUAAAUCCCCCCCCCCCCCCCCCCNNNNNNNNNNNNNNNNNNNNNNNNNNNNNNNNNNNNNNNNNNNNNNNNNNNNNNNNNNNNNNNNNNNNNCCACACACACACACACCAAAAAAAUAAAAUAAUAAACCACCUUACUCCACCAGACGCAAAGUAGAAUAUAAUGUCCAACUAUAAUAACAAGCCCUUUUUUUUUUGUGUGUGUGUAUUUUCUCGAUCGAAUGCACUUCAUUCCGAAAUAUUCCAUCCAAGAAAAAUCACAAUUUUCGAAUUCUCAAACAUCGAACAAAAAAUUCGAGAUUAAAAGUAUUAGUUCCAACAAAAUCAAAAUAAAGAAAACAUAAUAGAUAACACUAUCGCGAACCAGAAAUAUAAAAAUAAAAAUCAUAUAUAUCAAAUAAUCCAUCAUGUAUGCGAGAAAUUACCUUAGUGCCACCAUCAAUCAGAAAAGGAUGAUCACAGAGAUAAAGAUAAAGAUCUUUCUUCGAACCGAACACAAUCGAAUCCGGUCCAUCACUAGACCGGGAAAUAAUAUCACGAUAAUCCGGCGGCAAAAACCGGUCCCAAAC
Molecule: long non-coding RNA, 2369 nt
Filed under: Nicotiana benthamiana
Lineage: Eukaryota; Viridiplantae; Streptophyta; Magnoliopsida; Solanales; Solanaceae
Description: long non-coding RNA (NBEN_LNC015659)
Source: RNAcentral